This 84-nucleotide microRNA precursor is filed under the name Bombyx mori (domestic silkworm). RNAcentral's name for it is "mir-2807 microRNA precursor family". It matches the Rfam family "mir-2807 microRNA precursor family". Lineage: Eukaryota; Metazoa; Arthropoda; Insecta; Lepidoptera; Bombycidae. The record is from Rfam by way of RNAcentral.
UUAACUCAAGUUUGUAUGGGGUUGGAACGUUUGCGUACGUUUGCCGCUAGGGGCGCUGUUCCAACUGCAUACAAUUUUGAGUUA